AUCACUAAGCGGAGGAAAAGAAACUAACAAGGAUUCCCCUAGUAACGGCGAGUGAAGCGGGAAGAGCCCAGCACCGAAUCCCCCGUCGACAGGCGGUGGGAACUGUGGUGUUUAGGACAGCCUAUGGAGCGGUGUACGAACGUCCGAGUCCCUCUGAUCGGGGCCUUUCCCAUAGCGGGUGUCAGGCCUCUACUGGCGAUCGUCACUUCUCCUCUGAGCGUCCUUGGAGUCGGGUUGUUUGGGAAUGCAGCCCAAAGUGGGUGGUAAACUCCAUCUAAGGCUAAAUACAGACACGAGUCCGAUAGCGGACAAGUACCGUGAGGGAAAGUU
Molecule: ribosomal RNA, 330 nt
Filed under: Nereimyra punctata
Lineage: Eukaryota; Metazoa; Annelida; Polychaeta; Phyllodocida; Hesionidae
Description: eukaryotic LSU rRNA
Rfam family: Eukaryotic large subunit ribosomal RNA
Source: RNAcentral